Long non-coding RNA from Mesocricetus auratus (golden hamster), 2893 nucleotides. RefSeq lists it as uncharacterized. The record is from RefSeq and is a predicted model, not a curated record. NCBI's taxonomy places the organism in Eukaryota, Metazoa, Chordata, Mammalia, Rodentia, Cricetidae. The transcript is spliced from 3 exons.
CCCCUUAUUCAUCCUGCAGGAGUUGGAUUGGCUUUGUCUGGGGCGGGAUCAAAAGUGGUCACACCGGUGGGCGGGGUAGAAAUAGGAGGUUAGGUCUCCAUUCAGACUCUGUUGGAGGGUCCUCGAGCCGGGUCCACACCCACCCCGCCUGGAGAAGCCAGCCCCCUUCACCAGCUCCCAUGGGCUUCUCUCUACACCGGUAGCAAGCAGUCCCAGAGUUCCCACUCCAAGGUCGCUGAGUCUCUGCUGACAGAUGAGUCUAUAUCCUCAUGCUCCUGCUUCAUGUACCCACAUUGGGAACUUUUGUUACUAUGACCCACAGUAACUUCUCAGAUCGGCCGGCCCCGUCAUCAUAUUUCCACCGCCUUGACACUGCUCACCUAGUAGGUAACACAUACUGUAUACUUUGUCCCUAACACAGGAUACUUGGCCCAUGACCCUGUGAGGUGGGUACCAUUAUUAUUCUCACUGACAGGUAAAAUGACUGGUGGCCCCAAGUCAGGCAGUUAAUUACGACAGCACUCUAGAACAAACAGCCCUACCUACUAUAUGAGUCAGACUGCCACAUCUCAGGAUCUUGGCACAACAAUUUGUCUGUCUAUCUUGUCCCCAGAAAAUGUCCCCAGCACAUUGUUCCCUGGACAUUAAUGACUCCUUCCUGUAGCUAGGCCAUCGUAGCAUAUAUAAAACUCACUGCUGCACGGGGGUGACAAAGGAAGCGCCAUCGCCAUUCCUCUUGUAGUCCAAGAAUGAGCUGCAUGCCCCCCCUCUGCCCCCACCUACUACCUACCGGGAAGACUAGGCCAAGGACACAUAGGGGAACAUGUGGGAGUUUAUGUUCUCACUGUGCUGCUUCGAAGAGAUCCCCUGCCCUUACCUGUCUUAGCCUUCCUUAACCACACCAUCAGCAAGGCUACAGCAGGACCUCUACAGCAGGACCUCCGGUGCUGCCACCAGGGCUUUGCUGACCCUUGUCACAGAGUCUGCUGUUUGUCCGCACUAUCUUUCCUGCUUUCCUUCUCUACUUCACUGACCCCUUCAUUUCUAUCUCCCUUCCCUCUGUCUUCCUUCUACACAACCAUUCUCCUCUUAAGGUCCCUCCUCGGGUCAUGUCCUGCCUUGGGAGUUCGUGCAAUUUUAGUGUGCUUGUCCUGUUUUAUCAGCUGCAGCACGUGACAAUAUCUGUUGUUACUUUUCUCUGCUUCGUGCCCUUUAGAAUUAGGGACUGGAGAAGUGUUUUAGUCAGUAAAGGACUCGCUGUGUAAACACGAGGUCUUGAGUUUGGAUUCCAAUCAUCCACAUUAAAAGCCAGGGGUGGGGGGAGGGAGGCUCUGUCCUACCACUGCAGAGGCAGAGGCAGGAGUUUCCCUGGGGCCUUCUGACCAAGGCCAUUGUGACCAAACUGGGGAGUGGCAGGUCCAAUGAGAAAAUAAUGUGGAAAGUGAUGGAGAGAACAUAAGCUAUCCUAUGACGAGUGUUGUACGGAUCUGUAUUUCUUUGCUCUGGGGGUGGGGGCACCUUUGUUUAUCUUUCUGUAUCUGCUUGUUUCUGUGCAGAAGUUUUGCAUUUCUCAUACAGUCAGUAUAUUAAUCAUUCUCUACCACUUCAGAUACUGUUUUAGAGAAAGGAAGAGGCAAUUCAUUGUUUUGGGGGAAAUACGUUUCCUUAUCAGUAUCAUUUGAAAUGCACGCAAGGUUAAACCGAAGAGAGCAAACCCUCCAAGGUUUUAAAAUGCGUUUCUCUGUUUGAUUUCUCUUGCUCCAGGUAGCUACCCAAUUCUUGAACCUUGUUUAGACCAUACCAAUUGUCUUGGACAAGGUUUGUUUCUCAUUGGUUGAAUUUCCUGCCUUGGCAGUUGUUAAAUAUUUUCAAUACUUCUUCUGUGCCUACCACAGAAGAAAGCCAGGUAUUAGAGGUCGCUGAAAAGGCCAAAUGGCAACAGCCAAUAAAAAGAAGGCAUGGAGAACAUCUUAACACAUUAAUCAAUUUCUUUCUUGUGUUAAGUUACACUGACUUUGGGUUUUUAAGUAAAACCUUAACGAAUUUGCUCUGUCCUAUGACCCCUUUCCUUCCUGGUUUUCCAGACGUCAUCUUUUGUUCUCUAGAUACCUGAGUACCUCCUUCUUCUACCUAGAACACCCUGAAUAGCCACAGGCUGACAUUUGCUAGUUAGGAAUGCAUGGCAGUCAAGGAAAUAGGCAAAAAUGACAGAAAAGUGUAUUUUCAUUUACUAACUACUUAGCUACUUUUCUCAGCUGAAUAUUCCCAGUUGUAACUAUUUCUACUGAAAGACCUGAGAAAAGGACAGAUAUAACAAGGAAAGGAGAGAAAGAACACAGCAGGAGAGGACAAUUUAGAAUGUGACUAUAGGUGGCGAGCCACAUGAACCCAACCUGUGUCCCCAGUGCUGACCAGCAAGCUCUAGGACUGAAUGGCUGCCCUGCGUGGCUCUUAUCAGGCUCUGAUCUGGUUUUCCUUUUACAGGCCCCCAUUGCUCUCCUUUGGGAUGGAAAUGUUUACCUUGUACUAUUGUAUCUGAGUGUUUUAUUUUUACAGCAAGGAAUCUGCCUCAAACUUCAGAGCAGACUUUGAACUUGGACUUCAGUAAUGCUGUUAACUGGAGACACAAGUGUUCACUAUCAUUUUCUGGAUACUCAGAUAUCAAAUUUUUACCAGGUCACCCACAAACGGAUUGAGCCACAUGACUAAAUCUAGCUCCACAGCGUCCAGUACAACAGCAGCAAUCACACAUGACUGCUGAGUCUAAAAAAGAAGUUUGUCCACACUGAGAAGUACUGCCUGGUGAAAUAUGGUUGACAUUCCAAACACUUGGUAAAAAGAAAUUGCAAGUCAAAAUUAAAACACUUUGUGUUGUGUUAAGCACAACGUGUGA